GGGGAAUAUUGCGCAAUGGGGGAAACCCUGACGCAGCGACGCCGUGUGAGGGAAGAAGGCUUUCGGGUCGUAAACCUCUGUCGGGAAGGAAGAACCCCCCAGGUCCGAAUAGGUCCUGGGGCUGACGGUACUUCCAAAGGAAGCACCGGCUAACUCCGUGCCAGCAGCCGCGGUAAUACGGAGGGUGCAAGCGUUAAUCGGAAUCACUGGGCGUAAAGCGCGCGUAGGUGGUGGUUUAAGUCCGUUGUGAAAGCCCUGGGCUCAACCUGGGAACUGCAGUGGAUACUGGAUCACUAGAGUGUGGCAGAGGGUAGUGGAAUUCCCGGUGUAGCAGUGAAAUGCGUAGAGAUCGGGAGGAACAUCAGUGGCGAAGGCGACUGCCUGGGCCAACACUGACACUGAGGCACGAAAGCGUGGGGAGCAAACA
RNAcentral lists this ribosomal RNA (427 nucleotides) under uncultured Pseudomonadota bacterium. RNAcentral describes it as "bacterial SSU rRNA". It matches the Rfam family "Bacterial small subunit ribosomal RNA", at positions 356 to 774 of the family's 1533-position model. The record is from RNAcentral. Lineage: Bacteria; Pseudomonadati; Pseudomonadota.